UGGUGGAGUGAUUUGUCUGGUUAAUUCCGAUAACGAACGAGACCUUAUCCUGCUAAAUAGCCAGGCCGGCUUUUGCUGGUCGCUGGUCUUCUUAGAGGGACUGCGGUAGCGUCUAGCCCGCGGAAGUUUGAGGCAAUAACA
Molecule: ribosomal RNA, 141 nt
Filed under: uncultured eukaryote
Lineage: Eukaryota
Description: partial 18S ribosomal RNA
Rfam family: Eukaryotic small subunit ribosomal RNA
Source: RNAcentral